RNAcentral lists this ribosomal RNA (235 nucleotides) under uncultured bacterium. RNAcentral describes it as "partial 16S ribosomal RNA". It matches the Rfam family "Bacterial small subunit ribosomal RNA", at positions 96 to 334 of the family's 1533-position model. The record is from RNAcentral.
UGGCGGACGGGUGAGUAAUGUCUGGGAAACUGCCUGAUGGAGGGGGAUAACUACUGGAAACGGUAGCUAAUACCGCAUAACGUCGCAAGACCAAAGAGGGGGACCUUAGGGCCUCUUGCCAACGGAUGUGCCCAGAUGGGAUUAGCUAGUAGGUGGGGUAACGGCUCACCUAGGCGACGAUCCCUAGCUGGUCUGAGAGGAUGACCAGCCACACUGGAACUGAGACACGGUCCAG